Molecule: ribosomal RNA, 413 nt
Filed under: uncultured bacterium
Lineage: Bacteria
Description: bacterial SSU rRNA
Rfam family: Bacterial small subunit ribosomal RNA
Source: RNAcentral
GUGUCAGCCGCCGCGGUAAUACGGAGGGUGCGAGCGUUAAUCGGAAUUACUGGGCGUAAAGGGCGCGUAGGCGGUCGCGCAAGUCGGGUGUGAAAGCCCCGGGCUCAACCUGGGAAUUGCAUUCGAUACUGCGUAACUAGAGUCUGGUAGAGGGAAGCGGAAUUCCGCAUGUAGCGGUGAAAUGCGUAGAUAUGCGGAGGAACACCAGUGGCGAAGGCGGCUUCCUGGACCAAGACUGACGCUGAGGCGCGAAAGCGUGGGGAGCAAACAGGAUUAGAUACCCUGGUAGUCCACGCCCUAAACGAUGGGGACUAGACGUUGGGGGGAUAAAACCCUUUAGUGUCGCAGCUAACGCGUGAAGUCCUCCGCCUGGGGAGUACGGCCGCAAGGUUGAAACUUAAAUGAAUUGGCGG